This 499-nucleotide ribosomal RNA is filed under the name uncultured bacterium. RNAcentral's name for it is "partial 16S ribosomal RNA". It matches the Rfam family "Bacterial small subunit ribosomal RNA", at positions 28 to 507 of the family's 1533-position model. The record is from RNAcentral.
GACGAACGCUGGCGGCGUGCCUAAUACAUGCAAGUCGAGCGAAGUUUUUCUGGUGCUUGCACUAGAAAAACUUAGCGGCGAACGGGUGAGUAACACGUAAAGAACCUGCCUCAUAGACUGGGACAACUAUUGGAAACGAUAGCUAAUACCGGAUAACAGCAUUAACUGCAUGGUUGAUGUUUAAAAGUUGGUUUUGCUAACACUAUGAGAUGGCUUUGCGGUGCAUUAGCUAGUUGGUGGGGUAAAGGCCUACCAAGGCGACGAUGCAUAGCCGACCUGAGAGGGUGAUCGGCCACACUGGGACUGAGGCACGGCCCAGACUCCUACGGGAGGCAGCAGUAGGGAAUCUUCCGCAAUGGGCGAAAGCCUGACGGAGCAACGCCGCGUGAGUGAAGAAGGAUUUCGGUUCGUAAAGCUCUGUUGUUAGGGAAGAAUGAUUGUGUAGUAACUAUACACAGUGGAGACGGUACCUAACCAGAAAGCCACGGCUAACUACGUG